ACUCAAAGGAAUUGACGGGGGCUUGCACAAGCGGUGGAGCGUGUGGCUUAAUUCGUCGCUAAACGAAGAACCUUACCGAGGCUAGAAAUCCUACUGCACGCCUAGCGAAAGCUAGGAAGCCUUCGAGGGUGUAGGACAGGUGAUGCAUGGCUGUCGUCAGUUCGUGGUUUGAACCGUUCCCUUCAGUGGGGUAACGAACGCAACCCUCGUUGCCUGUUACAAGUGUCAGGCGAGACUGCCCCCUCACGGGGGAGGAAGGUGAGGAUGACGCCAAGUCAGCAUGUCCCUCUGAUGCCUCGGGCUGCACACGCGCUACAAUCGCCGUUACAAAGGGGCGCGACGUCGUAAGACUGAGCAAAUCCUAAAAAAAGCGGCGCCAGUUCGGAUUGAGGUCUGCAACUCGACCUCAUGAAGCCGGAAUCGCUAGUAAUCGUGGGUCAGCUAUACCACGGUGAAUACGUUCUCAAGCCUUGUACACACCGCCCGU
This 487-nucleotide ribosomal RNA is filed under the name uncultured bacterium. RNAcentral describes it as "partial 16S ribosomal RNA". It matches the Rfam family "Bacterial small subunit ribosomal RNA", at positions 899 to 1397 of the family's 1533-position model. The record is from RNAcentral.